CUGUAUUUCAAGAACUUCUUAUCUAAUCCUUCAUAUGUGUACAGUUUCACAAAUUUUGUAUUAUUGAGAAAACAAAUCGAUUGUUUCAAAUUUAGAGCAAAGUAUAAGUGUUAUAUAACAAAACUUGACAAUAAAAAAAGCCCUAAGAUAUGAAUUAUGUAUGCACUUUUAUUAUAUCAUCUGUUAUAUUUUCAGGUAAUUUGAAAGAAAAUGCAAAAACAGAAGUAAAAAGAAACACUAAAGAAGCAAGGAAAACCCCAAAACAUGAUAUUCGUUUGAGAAUUCAGAUAGUUCCAUCCCAAACUAUCCAAAGUGGUCCUAAAUACCAGCAUAAGGGAGAAAUAAGUGGCCCUGAGACCUAUGAAAAGAGACAAAAACAGAAAACUGGAGUGAAAAUUGAAAAGCUUCCUGAGAAAACUCAGAGUAAAGAAGAGAGAAGAGAAAUAGAAGACAAAAGAAAAGAUACCGAGGACAUGGAUAAAGGAAAGGAAAUAGAUAAGGGCCAAUCAAAGAAAGGAAGUGACGUAAAAGAUAAAGGUGAAGAAGAAGAAAAGGUGAACAUGAAAAAGAAGGGAGAUGAGGACAUGGAGGACAAAGACACAAAAGCAGAUAAAGACAAGAAGGAAGGCAAAGGCUUAAAGAAGAAUAAAUACAAGGGGGAGGAAAUGAACAAAAAGAAGGAUAAGGUCAAGAAAGGACAUGAGGAUAAGAUAGAAGGCAUGGACACAAAGGGAGAUAAGGACAGGACAGAGGACAUGGACAAGAAGAGAGAUAAAUAUAUAAAGGAGGAUGAAAACAAGGACAUAAAGGGAUAUGAGGACAGGACAGAGGACAUGGACAAGAAGGGAGAUGAGUAUAUAAAAGAGGAGGAGGACAAGGACUAUAAGAGAGAUGCGGACAGGACAGAGGACAUGGACAAGGAGGGAGAUGAGUAUAUAAAGGAGGAGGAGGACAAGAACUAUACGGGAUAUGAGGACAGAACAGAAGACAUAGAUACAAAGGGAGAUGAGUAUAUAAAGGAGGAUGAAGACAAGGACAAUAAGGAAGAUGAGGACAGGACAGAGGACAUGGACAAGGAAGGAGAUGAGUAUAUAAAGGAGGAGGAGGACAAGAACUAUACGGGAUAUGAGGACAGAACAGAAGACAUAGAUACAAAGGGAGAUGAGUAUAUAAAGAAGGAGGAGGACAAGGACUAUAAGGGAUAUGAGGAUGGGACAGAGGACAUGGACAAGAAGGGACAUGAGUAUAUAAAGGAGGAGGAGGAGGAGGACAGGACAGAGGACAUGGACAAGAAUGGAGAGGACUAUAUAAAGAAGGAUGAGGACAAGGACUAUAAGGGAGAGGAGAACGGGACAAAGGACCUGGGCAAGAAUGAAGGUGAAGGCAAGAGAAAGGACAAGAAUAUGAAAGGAAAUUCUAUGAAAAAAAAGUAUAAAAACAAGGUGGCUAAAGAGAACAAGAAUAUAGACCCAAAAGUAGGCGAAGGAAAGAAAAUGAGCAGUAAAAGAAAGAUCUCAUGGAAGAAAAAAUAACACUAGAUUUCAUAAACUAACAAAACAGAAUUGAAUAAUUUUGCUCUAGCACAUAGACUUCAAAACUAGCUCUCCAUCUUCUGUGAUUGAGAUUAAGAUAAUAUACUCCAUUCUUUUUAGUCACAAAUUUUCUGCUUCUUUGUUUAUAAUCUGGCAAAAGCUUCAUAAAAUGCUUCUUUGUAGAUCCCUCAGUCUCAAACUUCAGCUUCUAAAUAUGAGUUUUUCAGAAUACACACUCACGAGGUAUCAGUCAGGAAAACACAAAUAAAAAUUAAACUCUGAUUAAAGAAAUGUAGAACUGUAUUUUCUCAAAAAAUAUGGUGUUUUCCUAUCUAACCAAAUAGCUAUAUACUUAGUCUCUACUAGGUGCAACAUCUGUAAAGGUAUGCAAAAUAUCUUUAUCAAUAAUAUAAACAGAAAUGAAAACAGUAAAACCAUGUUAAAAAUAUAAAUAUCAAAAAAUUCAGAGCAAAAAUACAACAGGAAAAAAUAAGAAAAGGAAAAUCUCUUUGUUUAGGGAUAAUACAUUAAAGACUUUCACAGGCAGUAGAACUUGAACUGGGCAUCAAAAGACGAUGGGAAGGAUUUGUAUAUUGUUUGGGGCCCCUGGAUUAGUAAUCCCUCUAUACCAGAGGAUAAACCCCUUGAAGGAAGAUCUGUGUCUUACCAUGAUCUCCAUCCUCGGUGCCUACCACAAGGUUUAUUAAAUUUAAUUGACUGGGAAAGGAAGUGAGAAGAAAAAAAGUUUAGAACAUGGAAAGACUAUUGUAAAGGCAGAGAGGAGAGCAGAGAAUUUGAGUACAGCAAAGCUCCUCAAGGAUAAGGACACAAAAGGGAAUGAGGACCCCACUGAUGUAGAAGAUGAUUUCAGGUGGUCCCCAAAUAAACAUUGUUAUAGUAAUAUUUAAUGUUUACUUUUAUGUAAAUUUUUUAAAGUAUAUCAAGCCCAU
Molecule: long non-coding RNA, 2482 nt
Filed under: Canis lupus familiaris (dog)
Lineage: Eukaryota; Metazoa; Chordata; Mammalia; Carnivora; Canidae
Description: lncRNA (ENSCAFG00000056280.1)
Source: RNAcentral